UGGGGAAUAUUGCGCAAUGGGCGAAAGCCUGACGCAGCAACGCCGCGUGAGUGAUGAAGGCCUUCGGGUCGUAAAGCUCUGUCGGAGGGAACGAAUGCUCUUGAGGUUAACAGCCUCGGGAGGUGACGGUACCCUCAAAGGAAGCACCGGCUAACUCUGUGCCAGCAGCCGCGGUAAUACAGAGGGUGCAAGCGUUGUUCGGAAUCAUUGGGCGUAAAGGGCGUGUAGGCGGUAUGUUAAGUCAUGUGUGAAAUCCCUCGGCUCAACCGGGAAACGACGCAUGAAACUAGCAAGCUAGAGUACCAAAGAGGGUGGUGGAAUUCCCGGUGUAGCGGUGAAAUACGUAGAUAUCGGGAGGAACACCUGUGGCGAAGGCGGCCACCUGGUUGGAUACUGACGCUGAGACGCGAAAGCGUGGGGAGCAAACAGGAUUAGAUACCCCAGUAGUCCCUGAGCGGGCUGGCAAGGCGCAU
This 473-nucleotide ribosomal RNA is filed under the name uncultured bacterium. RNAcentral's name for it is "bacterial SSU rRNA". It matches the Rfam family "Bacterial small subunit ribosomal RNA", at positions 355 to 825 of the family's 1533-position model. The record is from RNAcentral.